RNAcentral lists this unclassified non-coding RNA (328 nucleotides) under soil metagenome. RNAcentral's name for it is "partial contains 5.8S ribosomal RNA, internal transcribed spacer 2, and large subunit ribosomal RNA". The stretch from base 1 to 120 matches the Rfam family "5.8S ribosomal RNA", at positions 35 to 154 of the family's 154-position model. The record is from RNAcentral.
GAUGAAGAACGUAGCGAAAUGCGAUAAGUAAUGUGAAUUGCAGAAUUCAGUGAAUCAUCGAAUCUUUGAACGCACAUUGCGCCCCUCGGUAUUCCGAGGGGCAUGCCCGUUCGAGCGUCAUUAUACCCCUCAAGCCUAGCUUGGUGUUGGGGCCUGCUGUUACCGGCAGCCCUUAAAAUCAGUGGCGGUGCCAUCUGGCUCUAAGCGUAGUAAUACUUCUCGCUACAGGGUCCCGGUGGAUGCUUGCCAUCAACCCCUAAUUUUCUAUGGUUGACCUCGGAUCGGGUAGGGAUACCCGCUGAACUUAAGCAUAUCAAUAAGCGGAGGA